Molecule: long non-coding RNA, 7137 nt
Organism: Oxyura jamaicensis (ruddy duck)
Lineage: Eukaryota; Metazoa; Chordata; Aves; Anseriformes; Anatidae
Exons: 7
Source: RefSeq, a predicted model, not a curated record
CAGGGAAUUAUGUAGAGUAGCUUUGGAAAUCUGAUAAUGAAAAAACUUUGGACUCUUUUAUUUAUGACAUUUUAAACCGCUGUAACGUUUGGGGAAGUUUUCAGCAUUGUACAUGUACUGUUAACCCCGCAUGUAAAAUUUUCUGGGGUAACUCCAUGUGAAUUAAAGGUCAUAUAAAAUGAGUUUAGAUUCAGUCAAGCUGGAUUUGCUGGGAUUUGAAGGUGAUAUCUGGAUCUGCAUGAGGUUGCAAUGGGGGUGCAGGCAUAUGAGGCUGUUGCUCUCAGCCACCCCAUACAGGAUGCUUGCUCGCUCCAUAGGGAGUGCAGUGAGAGAGUUGCCAACGUUAGGUGUUAUGGAUGUCCUCCUGAAUCAUCCUCUAUGGGAAUCCCACAACAUCCCCGGAUAGAAAUCUCUACACCUCAGUGCCAAUUUAUUAACAAGUGUAGUGAGCCCUGGGAGUCCCUCAGAAAAGGGCCAAAUGAAGCCCGAUUACAGCCACUUCAGUUUCUAUGUUUAAGUGCAGUAGGAAAAUGCUCACAGAAGGUCAGGGCAGGACUUGACUACUCCAAACCCUGAAGCUCGUGUCCAGCAUGGGAUGCCAAAGUGUCUGUCUGAUGUCUGGGACAACCCUGCAUCCUCUCCUUGUAGGCCGGCCACCACAGCAGGAAUUAAGGGAUCCUCAAGUCUGCCCAACGUGCCAGGGAGCAGGGCUCUCUGCCAGAAAGUACAGACAGGAUUCCUUUCCAAGGCUGCUGGAUAUGCUGCUUUUGGAGGCAAAGAGCAAAACCUUCAAACCAGCUUGGCCUUUUGCAUUGUGACGCAAAGGUGCUGGCAUGCUGUGGAUCCUGCUGCUGGGCUCAGGGCAGGAGCCCUGGUCCAUGGAUGCCGUAUCUUGAAAGUUUAUUGGGCUCCUCAGGCUUGUCCUUUCUUCAGUAACCUAGGAUGCCUCUGCUGUGCCUGCAACAGGAAGCAUAAAUCAGAGAGGAGAAAUUACUGUUUUCAGUGCAAGACGCAGCGAUUUGGGAGAAGUUUCUCUAAAGGUCAGCAGGAUUCGUGUGCUCUCAAUGCUCUCCCCUAGUCUAAAGAUUUCAAGGGAAAAAAUUCAACACCAGGCUAUGGGAUGUUUCUGGUUUUGCGGGAUACAAGGUCAGUGCAUUUAUGACCUUGUUUUGAGCAGAGGAGUGGAUGAGGUGUGAGAUCCCAGGAACAGCAUUACGCAGAGAAAGACUAGGUGAAGAGGCGUGAAAUUUGGGGUAUAUUGUGACUCUUUGCAAUAUGCCUCUUUAUAUGCACAGCUCUUUUCUUUAAGACUGGGUGGAGAAAUGGAUCCAUUCAUGAGCAUUUGAUAGUAUGGUAGUGUGGGAACAUUGGUUUUCUCUCUGCUCUUUUUCUUUCCCUACACACAGUGUUGGUUUUCCAUCCUUUCCUCCAGAAUACAUGGGUGCAGAGAUGCUGAAAGAGCUCUCUUUAGCUCCUGGUUUUUGUGUCCAAAAUUUGAAAAAAAUGGACAGUGCUUGGAGUUCAUCCCAGCUGGUUCAACUACUAGUUUUCACUGGUGAUAUUAAAUUACAUGCACAUGCACAUCACUAGUGGAAAUAGUGUUAGUUCUUCCUAUAGUCCGUAUAUACAGUUUUUAAAUAACAUGCAAGAGAGGAUUAUUUUCUUGUGGCCUGUUUUUCAGGUAAGUUGAAUACCAGACUUCACAUUUGUUUGUAAUUUAUGUAGACAAGAGUUUUCCUCUGUGAACUGCAGAAUUUCAGAGAUGUUUGAGUGUUCACCUAAUUCAUACUAAAAAUAAUGUAUUUUUAAUGUUGGCAUGUGAACCACAGUAGCAGCACAUGCCGGCUUUACUCCAGCAAACAAAAUCACUUGUUUAUUUCACUGAAACAUUUUAUAUAUAUUGAUGGAAAAUGGACCCUACGUUGUGCUAACUGAACAGUCAGUAAACUAGUAAUGUGAUAUGCUGCCAAAGUAUUGUUUAAAUAGAUUACAGCAGCUUCUUGUGGCUUACUGAAUUUGUUUAUGUGGGUCAAUAUGGCCUAAUUUUUCCUGUUGAAGGUCUUCUCCAAUUAUAACCAUGAAUCAUUUUAGGUGAAUGUGACAAUUCAUAAACAGUUCUACCGCUAUAAAUACCAGGUGUUUAGAAAGUACAACUUAACCUCCAAACACUUACUGCUGUAAUUACCACUGAGUGUCACGGUAGGAUGGGAACAACUGUUGGUGGUGAAGAAUGACGUAUUUUAUUCCAAGUGUGAGUGAGAAGACGUACUUUAUUCCUAGAGUGAGUGACAACAUUGCUGAGAUGCUCGCAGUGCCAGGGGAGCACAUCGGCAGUGAUAAGGUGGAGGAUAGGAAAGCUGUGCUCGUGCACCCGCGGGACACCCCGGUGUCUUUGCCAGCAGCACCUGCCACACAGCAGAGGAGCGGCUCCUGCGCCGGAGAGAUGCUGCGUCCCCCAGGCACCAGGAACAUUGUGCAGUUUGCCAGUCAACAGCAGGGGGGAGAGUUUCUGUGAGAAUCUGAAAAUAGACAGAUUGAAGAUAUCCACAGCCCUGUGUGAGCUGGAUUGUAAACAGCUAAGCUUCUUAAAAAUUUGGUUGGGUUUGCUGUAUUCACAUAUACCUCAGUAAACACGGCAAACACUCCUUGGUUUCCAGAGCAUCUCAAACGUGUGCACUCAGCCACCGGGACUGACCUCACCGGAGCUCUCAAGCGAAGAAGGAUAUGACAAGAUAGAGCAGGACACCAGACUGGCAGUGAAUUGCACAGAAGAGAUGUUCUACAGGAAAAGUCGUGAAACAGGAAGAUAGGGGAGCAGCUUAAGGUCUGCAGUCUGUCCCGUAAGUGCUUUUUGGAGGGGAAGCAGAAAUGCCACUUAUCUGUUGUGUGUACUGUGGGACUCUGUUCCUUCAAUGGUGAAAGGACAAAAUCAUGAAUGCGAAGUGGAUCACAAAGCAAAUAUUGAGAUAUUUUUGAAAAUGAAGUCAGUCAGCUGCAGGGCUGGGCUUCUUCAGUGACGGCGAGGUUGUGCUGGUGCCUGACCAUCAAAGGACUAAAUCAGUGGUUGUAUGGGUGGACUUGGUAAAAACACUGCAGUUGGAUUCAGUUGUGUGGAGUCGUCACAGGCAGCAUAGCACAAAAGCUUCUGGGACAGGCUCGUGGGGGCUGCCUGAGCCGUAGCAGAAUCCUGGCAAGCAGAAGAUGCUCUGCACAUUCUCCAGCACGAGCCUCUGCCAAGUAAUGUAGCAAAGCCCAGUGGUAGUAAGCCUAUGGAUUUCAUAUGGAUUUCAUGCAGCUUUAACAGGCUUCUGCACGGAGAAAGCAUCCUGCCUUUGGCAGAAUAAUAGUUGAAUUACUUGAAGUCCAAUUACAAUCAAAUCUUGUUAAUUUGUGCCCAUAACUGGAGAUUCAGCAAGAAUGACAAAACUUUAGCAAGUUAGAGAGGAAGUGGUACACACAUUUUAAGAAGUGUGGCUAAUGCAUUACAGAAUUCAUUAUCACCUUACAAACUUCUUCACACUCCGGAAAAGGAUGAAUGCUCUUAAUUCAUUUAUUUUGACAAGAUCGGGCUAAACCUUGUUGGAUGUUUACCAUGCAUUUCAGGUAGUAGAGCAGACGUUGCAUGGAGUCUUAAGAGCUUGAAAGUGUGCAUGAAAAAAGCACUCUCUGCAUUUUGCCCUGCCGUGUUUUGAAGCCCUGUGACAGGUCCUGCAGGCUUGUUUGGCUGCCCCUUGGUAAAAUCUGAGCUGAGAAACAUCUAGCAGUGCUGUCAAGAGGAAUCUACAUUUGCUUCAGGGAAAAUACGUGACUCAUCCCUGUGUCCCUGCUACAGCUGUGUGGAGUGAAGUCAAAACCCCCAAGCCUGGGAUGAAGCCAACUUCCAGCAAUACUUCUACAUAUAUUAUAAGUCCAAUACGAAUGCCUACAGACGUUUCGCAGACUGAACUCAGAAACGUACUCCUUGACACCGAGCCACCAUAUUAAAGGUGUUGAAGCACACGUUGUGUAAGCCUGAGGCAAUAUACAGAAUUAAUGAAAGAAACGCUGCAUGCUCUGAGCUUUGUAGACCACAACAUGAAAUGUCUGGAUUUUUUCACACACAAUUUUUCACAACUAUGAAAAUGCUGAUUCCAAGUAUCCUAGUAAAUAGCUAAAUAACAGUCCUUUGACCCUGGUGAGACAAUUCGACACUAAGAGAUUUUUCUUGAAAUUCACAGCUGUUGGCUAUAAGAAAUGGUCUGGGGGUAUUGGCUUUGAAACAGACAUUUUUUUCCCCAUUACAUACUGCUGGUACUACCCUUGAAAGAUGCACUGUGAUGUGAGGUUUUGUACAAAAUGAAUAUUUGAGUUUUGAGCUAUGAAAAAUGGCUUAUUUUUCUGAAGAGUGUGAAGCUCCGAGCUUUUUCUGAAGCUCUGAGCUCACUGGGUUCUACUGAUUGAUAUCCACAGAUGAGCUAGUCCUUAAACCUUAAACCACUCUUCUUCCUGCAAGUAUAAAAUAACAACACGGGCUGUCGGCAGAGUACCAGGUAAAUGUUGCCAUGGGCCCAAGGGCUUUCCAUGUCCCAAGAGCUCUUUUUGGAAGCCAGCAAAUGAAUAUCAAGUGAAAACAUAUUUACUUGAUGCAAACAGCAGUGAGAUGAUGUUUGCAAAUGCCUCCUUCUGUUUCCAAACAGUACAAACAACAAAUUACUGCCUCAGACUGAUUUCCACCAAAUAUAUUUUCACACUUUUCCAUUGUUAGUUGGUUGGCUUUUUUUAAUUUAUUUUGUAUUUUUUUUUUGGAAGGGGCAGGGAGGCUGAGGGCAGGAAGUGAAUGCUUUGUAAGCUAUCCUCAGCUGGAAAAAAGUCAAGAACCAGCAGUAUUUCAAGUCAAUGCAUUUUGAACAGAACUCCGAUAUUACUAGUUGGCCAAUCUUUUUGACUUCAGAUGUUGGUAGAUUUUUUUUUUCCUUUGGCCUGGUCCAUUUGGAUAGCACAGAACUUCAGGAAAUUAGUGAUGCUGCCUUUGAAAACCCUGCCUAUUUUACAGAGAGGAAAUACUUAAAACUCAAUGAUACGAAACUAACUAGAUAUAUUUGAAAUAUUGAUUACAUAUAUCUUCUGGAAUAGGAUAAUGGGAUAUUCCUGGUUGCUAUAUGCAUGUUUAUACGUCUCUGAAAUGUUUGAUUAAUGUGCACCUAAUCUUUCUUUCUGCUAAUAGACCAUCAUAUUUCUUACUAAGAAAUGAAUUAUUCGACCACUGGUACAAGUGGCUGAGAGAAGGCCAUUUAUAAUGCUGCAUCUUCAGCUAAUGUUUCUUUGGCAACUAAUCCUUGACCUGGAAAGCUCUUUCACUGAAAAUGACUAAUAUUGUCAAUUUUAAUUUCUGCUUUGAAUAUGUUUUUCUGAUGGCAGUCUAAUCUAUCCUAAAAUACUUUAUACUUUACAAUAUUAAAAAAACAUACAUAGAAAAUAAACAAAGGAAAACCCUCAUGAAGCAACAUUUGAAUCCUGUUUCUGGAGAUGUUAUCCCAGAACUUUGAACUUAUGCAAAAGCAGUAUAUUGGCAAAAAGAAAGAAAAUAUUUUAAAAAGCAAAAUAGAAUUGACUUAACCUAUCCUUUUCUUUGUUCACAAAAUAAAUUGUCAUUUUAGGCUGGUACUGAUUUUGCUUUCCAUUUUUAUUUUAAGAUUAACUCACAUUUGAAUGCUUUUAUCAUUUUCUGUAUCACUUUUUUGAGCAAUGUUAUUUUUCAUAUUUCUGAAAAUUGCUUAGUUAAGAGAUUCGACAAAUAGCAGGUUGUAAUAACAACAGUUGCUCUCUGCUGGCCUUGUGUCUAUCAGCCCUAGUCUUAUCAUUUGUACACUAUAAGCAGCCCUUCUUCAUACAAUCAUUUUCAAAAUUGCUGUGCUAAACUUUAGGGAACAGGGAUGUUCACCACAUUUGUACACUCAGUCAUGAGCUCAGACAAGAACGCUGAGCAUUAGGCAUGGCAAACAAACCAUGAAAACUUACAGUUGUCAGACUGGAUGACUUUUGCAGAAAAGCUGCAGAGGGUUAGUUUGUUCCUUGGUACCUUUUGUAAGAAAAAAUAAGCAUUUGCAUACAGAUUUUCAAAAGCUUAAAAAAGAUCAAUAGCAAAUAUAACCCAGUGUCACUGAUGUAAAGGGCCAAGCACUCUGAGCUAGGGUCACAGCGCUGAACAGAGGCCUUAGUAUCCAAAUUCUCCUUCCAAUUAGCAACAAAAAAGUGGUAAUUUGCAAUUUCUGUCCACUUUAAUAAACUGUACAGAUUUCAGACUGCCCUGCAUCUGACAUCCAGAGUCUUUUAGAGACUAUCCAGUUGCCACUCAAAAGCAGGAGCAUUUUAAAAUGGGGGCCUUCUUUAAAAAACAGAGAACACCCACUGAAUCUGCAGAUCGGCAAAACCAGCCUGGCAUUUUAGCAUGACUUCAACUUCAGUCUGAGGAAGCCUGAGCCUUUUCUGUAGUAGAAUUUUCUGGAAACGGCAUUCACAAGAAGCAGUAAUGAGUUAUAUGGCAUCUGCUGACUUUGACAUGGAGCUUUUUUGAUCCAUCUUAUGGAUUUAAAUUCUCCCUAUUGUGUUAACGCUGUGACUUUUUGUAAACCACAGGAGUGGAAUUUCAACUGGGACUCUACUCCUACCCUUGGCUCCAGGCCAUAGACCUUCCAAGAGCUAUUGGGAGGUUGAAUGUAAUAAAGAUUACUAUGACUGUCGAAGCAAUGGAUGCAAUCAAUCCCUCAGUAAGUACUGGAAGCCCUGUUAAAACGAAAACUGAGAGAAAGAAGAGUUUUCACAAACUAGCUGUGUAGAAAGAGCAACUACACAGACUAUGCUCACCUGCAAUAGAUGAGCUAAUAACCUCCAGCCCCUCCCUUUGCUUUUGUCCCCCAUUGUUACAUGGGGAGGUGAGCAGGAAUCUCUGGUGGUGAAGAAAAGUCUUUGAUUUACUUUUUUGAACAUGUGAGUUUGUAAUUCAACUACCUGCUCCUGAGUUGAGGGAAAAACAUCUAUGUAUGCUGCUGGAGAAAUGGAGCUCCAUGUUGUCCACUUGGGGACAGUGAGUUCAACAGUGCAAUAUUUCUUCAUAAAAGUGCUUUCUCUCACAUGGAGAAUCUCACGUGCAUUUCCCCA